CCAUCCGUGUGGAUGUGGACGUGUCCUCGGAAAUGCAAGCUGAGCCUGUCUAAAGUUACCCAGCCAGUAAUGUCGGGAGUAAACUUUGUGCUGAGGAUUUCUGCUUAAAGCUACGGUCUCCUUCCAGUCUGGAGAGUCUGAGGUGGUUGCUGGGGCGUCAUGAAACUGAGAGGUAAAUGCUCUGGAAUGUACAGACACCUCGUGCCCGCCAACAAAAGUUUAAGACUGCGGUCAGAUAUCCCAGAAGUCUACAGCCGAGAAGACCCCUCUUUUCUGUAUCCCUCUACCUGUUUCCACCAAUGUAUUUGAAAAGUGUGUUAAUUUAUGACCUUCUUUGCUGUUUCUAUAAAAACUGCUUAAAAUUGCUACCUCACUGGACCAUGGAAUGUGGGGUAACUUGAAUUAUCCCCAGGGCAUUGGCCACACGCAUUUGGCUCCAGAAUAAAGGCUCUCAUAUCCCCUUUGA
Molecule: long non-coding RNA, 466 nt
Organism: Nannospalax galili (Upper Galilee mountains blind mole rat)
Lineage: Eukaryota; Metazoa; Chordata; Mammalia; Rodentia; Spalacidae
Exons: 2
Source: RefSeq, a predicted model, not a curated record